UACGGAAGGUGCAAGCGUUGUCCGGAAUCACUGGGCGUAAAGGGCGCGUAGGCGGCUCAUGAAGGCUGUGGUGAAAGUCCGGGGCUCAACCUCGGAUCGGCCGUGGCGACUCGUGGGCUGGAGCACUGUAGAGGCGGGUGGAAUUCCGGGUGUAGCGGUGGAAUGCGUAGAGAUCCGGAAGAACACCAGUGGCGAAGGCGGCCCGCUGGGCAGUGGCUGACGCUGAGGCGCGACAGCGUGGGGAGCAAACAGG
RNAcentral lists this ribosomal RNA (253 nucleotides) under uncultured bacterium. RNAcentral describes it as "partial 16S ribosomal RNA". It matches the Rfam family "Bacterial small subunit ribosomal RNA", at positions 524 to 776 of the family's 1533-position model. The record is from RNAcentral.